CCUCCGUCGUGCUCUCCUCGUCCUCCACUUCCGCGUGCCGCAUCAGAUAAUGGGAAAGAGGAGCUGCAGCCACUGAUGGAGGAUGAUCUGACGCAGGUGGGCUCUCUGAUUAAGGAUCUUAUCCGGCUCUAUUACUUCAGCGGCGGGUCGUCAAGAUCCGCAAGAGGGUUUGCUGGAAAUGGUGCAUAGAAGGUAGAAGUUAUUUUGUGCCAAUAGUGGAGCAAAUGCAGAUUGGUGAAAGUUUAUUAUUGUGUUGCUCGUUACUUUGUAAUCACAGAUAUUAGUGCUUGAGUUCUUCCUACUGUCUUAAUUUUGUUCCAGUUCGAAAAUUGUUAAAUAAAUAGCUCAUGUCUCAUUUUAUUUUGUAUUAUCUAUCUGCGUAUGUGCAUAGACAUGACCAUAUAUCCAUUCAUCUUGGUUGGGCAGUAUAUCCUACUAUUCUGAAGGCCAUA
Long non-coding RNA from Panicum virgatum (switchgrass), 452 nucleotides. RefSeq lists it as uncharacterized. The record is from RefSeq and is a predicted model, not a curated record. The transcript has 3 exons. NCBI's taxonomy places the organism in Eukaryota, Viridiplantae, Streptophyta, Magnoliopsida, Poales, Poaceae.